ACCUUUCUAACCCUUUGUUAGCUAUCUAAGAGCACUCUCACCCACUCUUACAUGAUUGAAUUGGAAGUUGUCAUCAUAUUGACAAAAAGAUAAAUAUUUUUAAAGCUAAAAGAACUGAAGAUAUCUUUUCUUUUAAGGGUCACAGCAGAUUCAUUUGUUUCCAGUUUCGAUAUUUUGUAUACAUCAAACAAAAAAGAAGCUUUUGUUUUUUCUUA
Molecule: unclassified non-coding RNA, 215 nt
Filed under: Hevea brasiliensis (rubber tree)
Lineage: Eukaryota; Viridiplantae; Streptophyta; Magnoliopsida; Malpighiales; Euphorbiaceae
Source: RNAcentral